CCUACGGGAGGCAGCAGUGAGGAAUAUUGGUCAAUGGGCGGAAGCCUGAACCAGCCAAGUAGCGUGCAGGAUGACGGCCCUACGGGUUGUAAACUGCUUUUAUACGGGAAUAACGCGCCUUACGUGUAGGGCUUUGCAUGUACCGUAUGAAUAAGGACCGGCUAAUUCCGUGCCAGCAGCCGCGGUAAUACGGAAGGUCCGGGCGUUAUCCGGAUUUAUUGGGUUAAAAGGGAGCGUAGGCCGCAUGUCAAGCGUGCUGUGAAAGUCCGGGGCCAACCCGGGCCUUGCAGCGCCAACUGGCGUGCUUGAGUCCGCGGAAAGCAGGCGGAAUUCGUCGUGUAGCGGUGAAAUGCUUAGAUAUGACGAAGAACCCCGAUUGCGAAGGCAGCUUGCUGCAGCGGAACUGACGCUGAUGCUCGAAAGCGCGGGUAUCGAACAGGAUUAGAUACCCGUGUAGUC
This 459-nucleotide ribosomal RNA is filed under the name uncultured bacterium. RNAcentral describes it as "partial 16S ribosomal RNA". It matches the Rfam family "Bacterial small subunit ribosomal RNA", at positions 338 to 795 of the family's 1533-position model. The record is from RNAcentral.